RNAcentral lists this ribosomal RNA (433 nucleotides) under uncultured bacterium. Its description in RNAcentral is "partial 16S ribosomal RNA". It matches the Rfam family "Bacterial small subunit ribosomal RNA", at positions 29 to 507 of the family's 1533-position model. The record is from RNAcentral.
AACGAACGCUGGCGGCAUGCCUAACACAUGCAAGUCGAACGAAACCACCGGGUCUUGUCGCGCCUGGGUGCGUCAGGCGUGGGAACCUGCACUUAGGUUCGGCCUAACUAUCCGAAAGGGGUGCUAAUACCGGAUAAUGUCUUCGGCCCAAAGAUUUAUUGCGCUUGGAUGGGCCCGCGUUGGAUUAGCUCGUUGGUAGGGUAAAAGGCUAUUAAGGCGACAAUUCAUAGCUGGGCUGAGAGAAAGAGCAGCCACACUUAGAGGGAGACACGGCCCAGACUCCUACGCGAGGGAGGAGAGGGGGAUAGAGGAAAGCGGGCGGAGGGCUGAAGGAGCACUGCUGGGUAAGUGAUGUAGGCCGGAGGGAAGUAAAGCGCUUUUAACCGGGAUGAUAAUGACGGUACCGGGAGAAUAAGCUCCGGCUAACUACGUG